UCUCCGUUGGUGAACCAGCGGAGGGAUCAUUACCGAGUUUACGACUCCCAAACCCCUGUGAACAUACCUAUCGUUGCCUCGGCGGUGCCCGCUCCGGCGGCCCGCCAGAGGACCCCCAAACUCUUGUUUUAUACAGUAUCUUCUGAGUAACACGAUUAAAUAAAUCAAAACUUUCAACAACGGAUCUCUUGGUUCUGACAUCGAUGAAGAACGCAGC
This 217-nucleotide unclassified non-coding RNA is filed under the name plant metagenome. Its description in RNAcentral is "partial contains small subunit ribosomal RNA, internal transcribed spacer 1, and 5.8S ribosomal RNA". The stretch from base 169 to 217 matches the Rfam family "5.8S ribosomal RNA", at positions 1 to 49 of the family's 154-position model. The record is from RNAcentral.